This 425-nucleotide ribosomal RNA is filed under the name uncultured bacterium. RNAcentral's name for it is "partial 16S ribosomal RNA". It matches the Rfam family "Bacterial small subunit ribosomal RNA", at positions 354 to 796 of the family's 1533-position model. The record is from RNAcentral.
GUGGGGAAUAUUGGGCAAUGGGGGAAACCCUGACCCAGCAACGCCGCGUGAAGGAAGAAGGUUUUCGGAUCGUAAACUUCUAUCCUUGGUGAAGAUAAUGACGGUAGCCAAGAAGGAAGCCCCGGCUAACUACGUGCCAGCAGCCGCGGUAAUACGUAGGGGGCAAGCGUUGUCCGGAAUGCUUGGGCGUAAAGGGCGCGUAGGCGGCCUGGUAAGUCUGGAGUGAAAGUCCUGCUGUUAAGGUUGGAAUUGCUUUGGAUACUGUCGGGCUUGAGUGCAGGAGAGGUAAGCGGAAUUCCCGGUGUAGCGGUGAAAUGCGUAGAGAUCGGGAGGAACACCAGUGGCGAAGGCGGCUUACUGGACUGUAACUGACGCUGAGGCGCGAAAGUGUGGGGAGCAAACAGGAUUAGAAACCCUGGUAGUCC